CCUACGGGUGACAGCAGUGAGGAAUAUUGGUCAAUGGACGAGAGUCUGAACCAGCCAAGUCGCGUGAAGGAUGACUGCCCUAUGGGUUGUAAACUUCUUUUAUAAAGGAAUAAAACGAGGCACGUGUGCCUGUUUGCAUGUACUUUAUGAAUAAGGAUCGGCUAACUCCGUGCCAGCAGCCGCGGUAAUACGGAGGAUCCGAGCGUUAUCCGGAUUUAUUGGGUUUAAAGGGAGCGUAGAUGGGUUGUUAAGUCAGUUGUGAAAGUUUGCGGCUCAACCGUAAAAUUGCCAUUGAUACUGGCAGUCUUGAGUACAGUUGAGGUAGGCGGAAUUCGUGGUGUAGCGGUGAAAUGCUUAGAUAUCACGAAGAACCCCGAUUGCGAAGGCAGCUUACUAAACUGUGACUGACAUUGAUGCUCGAAAGUGUGGGUAUCAAACAGGAUUAGAUACCCGGGUAGUC
This 460-nucleotide ribosomal RNA is filed under the name uncultured bacterium. RNAcentral's name for it is "partial 16S ribosomal RNA". It matches the Rfam family "Bacterial small subunit ribosomal RNA", at positions 338 to 795 of the family's 1533-position model. The record is from RNAcentral.